RNAcentral lists this ribosomal RNA (520 nucleotides) under uncultured bacterium. RNAcentral's name for it is "bacterial SSU rRNA". It matches the Rfam family "Archaeal small subunit ribosomal RNA", at positions 345 to 866 of the family's 1478-position model. The record is from RNAcentral.
AAACUUCACACUGGAGGCAACUCCGAUGAGGGAAUUCCUAGUGCUAGCACAUUAGUGUUAGCUUUUCUUAAGCGUAGAUAACUUAAGGAAUAAGGGCUGGGUAAGACGGGUGCCAGCCGCCGCGGUAAUACCCGCAGCCCAAGUGGUGGUCGAUUUUAUUGAGUCUAAAACGUUCGUAGCCGGUUUGGUAAAUCCUUGGGUAAAUCGAGAGGCUUAACCUUUCGAAUUCCGAGGAGACUGCCAAACUUGGGACCGGGAGAGGCGAGAGGUACUUCUGGGGUAGGGGUAAAAUCCUGUAAUCCUAGAAGGACCACCGGUGGCGAAGGCGUCUCGCUAGAACGGAUCCGACGGUGAGGGACGAAGCCCUGGGUCGCAAACGGGAUUAGAUACCCCGGUAGUCCAGGGUGUAAACGCUGCAGACUUGGUGUUGGGGGCCCUUCGGGGGCGUCCAGUGCCGGAGAGAAGUUGUUAAGUCUGCUACUUGGGGAGUACGUCCGCAAGGAUGAAACUUAAAGGAAUU